Molecule: long non-coding RNA, 1155 nt
Organism: Tachysurus fulvidraco (yellow catfish)
Lineage: Eukaryota; Metazoa; Chordata; Actinopteri; Siluriformes; Bagridae
Exons: 4
Source: RefSeq, a predicted model, not a curated record
AAAAGCUCGAGGCAAAUUCAUUAGCGCAGUCAGUGCGUAACCUGCUCUGGGAAACUGGGGGGCUACAGUCCACGCAAAUAAGAGGAAACAAUGGCUCCUCAGUUCAAGUCCAACAAAAGACCUGGCCAACUUGUUUGAAUUUCCGAGCACGUCCAUUCUUUCUCUCUCGCAGAGAAGGAGAGAUUCUGCACCCCACCCCACCCCCAAUACCCCCCACCCCAAACCCAACCCAACACUAAAAAAAAAUCAUGCCAUGCCAACCCUUCUCUGCUCAACAGUGCACUUUUUCCCAUUUGAUGCUGUAGACAAAUAGGUUAUGGGAAACUUCUCGACCCCUCCUCUCUGUCUCCCCCCAUCUCGCGCUGUCUCAGUCUCUCACACACUCUCGCGCUGUCUCUAGCGCGCGUGGACUACCGGAGCAGGGAAGCACGCGUAAUGAGCUAAGUAUUAGCGGCAAUUUUGAACCACAUGCGCACAGUGUGGACUGGUUGGUCAAACGGCGUUUUGCGCAACGAGAACGGAUACUGAACGGUUGGAAAGACGUUCGGAGAGAAAAAGACGGGAAAUAUGACCAUAACUGACCAGUGGAAGAGAGGGAGGCAAAAUGGAGCUGUCUGCUUUAUCCUGCAAUAAAAUCCACUAUAAGGUGAGAAGAGAUGGGAGAUGGGGUCACAGAAGAGAUGGAUUGCGCACUGUGCCGAGAGUAAAGGUGAGGAUCAUCACUAAAUGAAGACUUCAAUCCAUGUACAGAUUUCUCCCGGAUCCGAGGGACACUUCUUCAGCUUUGUCUUGAUGGAUGGAUUGUCUUCAUGGAGAGUUUUCUGGAUUAUGUGUACUCGUUUACUGAGUGCAAACCAUAUUCCAUAGCAGCGGAACUGGAAUUAAUCCAUAAUGGCAUCUGGCUUGACACAAGAUACAUGACUUGAAUGUUGUAUACAUGCGAAAUCACUAUGCAAUGUAUGAUUUUACUGCUACUCCUUGUACAAAUAUUUUGGAUCAAAAAUUACUUGAAUAUGUUUGCACUAUAAAGUUUAUUUAUACAAUAAAUUGUUUCUUUUUCUAGAAGGACAUUUGCAGAGUGUGAUUUGUUUUUCUGAUUUGUAGAUGAUGGAAUUUAUAAUGUGGUGGAUAUUAAAAUGAUCAGUCUUUGGUUGA